CUUUGACCCAAAGUCUCAUAGCUAAAAGGAAUAAUAUUUUAUGUGUAAUAUUUUAUCUCCUAGUAGCCUCAGGAUAAUGCUCUUGAGCCAUAUAUCAGAAGGGGAUCUCAAUUCUGGGCAAAAACAAAGCAAGGACCACAAGAGUUUUGUGUGAACUAUGCUUUCAACAUGACCUUGCAUGUAAGAACAGGUGAGCAGACAAAAAAUAAAAUUUGUACAUUUUUCUUUUCUUUCACCUAGAACACUUUGGUAAUUUUAUCUUUGCUAUCAUCAUCAUCACCAUCAUCAUCACUGUAUUAUUGUUAAUCUCUCUCAUACACACAUACCCUCUUAUGCUUUGGAUUUAAAAGGGACUAGGUGGGAAGGAGGAAAAAUCAAAGGAGCAAAAGAAAAUAGGGCUACUGAAAUACAAAGCAAAUGCCUUAAAAUGUAUAGAAGAAAAAUGAACUUAAGAGUUAAAACAAACAUUUAAAGUAAUUAAUUCUUUGGCUUCCUGUGAUAAAAGUGACUCAGGGUCGCCCCUAAGGUAUGAAAGAUCUAGAUGGCAAACAUUUGGAGGGAAAACCUAGCUUCAGAUUUAGUUGCUUUUAGUUGAUUUUAAACAUCACCAAUUUUGGAGAUCACACAGCUGAGCAAUAGAUCAUUAGCCUUCCACUAGGUUUGCUAUGGAUUACAUCUCUGAUGAACAGGUCGUGAUAAUGGUUAUCUAAGUUACUUUUCAGGGACUUAAAGAUCAUCUUUGUUGAAGCCAUCAACUCUUCACUUGAGCCUGCAUGUGUCCAAUGGAUGACCUUUUGACAUCAGGGCCCCCAUAAACUUCAUACUCAGAUCAUUCUAAUGCCACUAAUUUCUGAACAGACUUCCUAUGAAGAGCUAUGAAGGCUGAUUACACAUGUGCACAUCCCUAAUUAUCUCAUCUCCAAUCACCUGUCCACAUAUCUUAAAUAUCCUGAUUCUUUAUGUCAUAAAUAUCCCCAAACCCCAUCCUUUGGAUGUAGAUUUGAGACUUGGGUCACCUAUCUCUAUACUUCGCCAUCUUGAAAAUAAAUUAUUGCAAAAUUCGUUGUUUCAGCAAUUGGUGUA
This 1083-nucleotide long non-coding RNA is filed under the name Marmota monax (woodchuck). The record is from RNAcentral. Lineage: Eukaryota; Metazoa; Chordata; Mammalia; Rodentia; Sciuridae.